CUUAGUCUGUUUUUCAGUUUUAAUUCAAAAACAGAGAGAGUUUCAAUUUUUUUUGGCUCAGAACUUUUGAUCUAGAGAUCCAAUGAGGUUGAUUCUUUUUCCAGUAUAUCACAAUUGUUCUGUAGUUUUCGAAAACAUAUUAUUUGCCUAUGUUUAAAAUUUCACAAUUUAAAUUAGAUCAGAUUUAGUUUAAAUAUUGUUUUGCCUAUUCCAGGAGUUUAAAAAUAGCUUUUGAUUUGAUUCUUUUUGCUGCUGCUUCCUAGUGAUCAUAUCUUUCUGUAGUUUAAGUUUCAAUUUUUUUUCAAAUAUUUUUUGUUGGGGUUUUAUCAAAAACAGAUUCUGUUUUGCUUAUGUUAAGUGAUUUCUUCACUUUAUGCAUUAGUAGUUUUAUUCUAGUGAUGUUAUUUUGCUUGUUAAUGAUUGUAGUGCUUAUGGUGUGUAUUUGUUUGUAUCGAGAGAUCACCCGGAGUGCGAAGCGUGCUACUUCGAAGCGCUCGGUAAUGACAACUAUCAGCAAGGCAAGUCAUUUGAUCAUGUAUUACCUAUGUUUUAUGCAUUGUAGUUCUACCCUUCAAACACCCUAUUGCAUGCUGAGUAGGUACUUGGAAAUAUUGGUUACUUGUUGUAGUAUCAUGUGGUAGGCACCCAACAACCCCGUUACUUGGCCCGGGACGACAAAUUUUAUAUUGCUAUGCUUGUGUAGACGGGGUUCUGGUUGAGAGUUUAUCACGAGUGAUGCGGGAAUAAUUUAAUAACCAAGACCAGUUAAGACAAGACUAUUCAAGACCUCGUGAUGCAAUGCAACUCUGGGUGAAGGACGGUUUAGAUGGGCUCCCUGGAGAAACCAGUGGACGACCCGGGAUGCAUGGAGACGUGCCAUGCCAUCUUGCAGAAAGCUUCACCCAGGCUCGAAGGGAUGGACUGAGGCUUCAAGACCCAAGGCUUACCUGCACAGCCACAAGUCAUUAUGUGCUCUGGCUUGGUUGGACAACGCGGCGACUCUGGACAGGCACCGAUAGGGGAUCAGAGGGACCCGUUGAAAGACCAUGUUCUGAUCAUCCGGUCUUCAAUCACCCUGAAGUGCGAGGACAAACUCGGAGGCGAUCAAAUCUUGUGGGGAACGUGUGCAAAACUCUGCAGAGUACCCAAACCUUAUCGAUUAGUCGUGUCCAUGGUCAUGGACAACUUGAGCCGAAGGCAUUGAAAUUUUCCCGAACUCUCAACACAAUUUAAAAAUGAUGUGGGGAUUAUCGACAACUCGGGUACGAGAAUUGGUUGGUGGAACCAUCUCGUUAACAACAAACAAUGUAGAAAUGUUUUGCUUUUAUCCCUCUCUUGAUGUAGGAGAAAACUUGCUUUUCGCUAAAAACUUAUAGCCCCACCUGCCAUAUAUGCAUGUAGAAUAGAUGAUUACUAUUUCACCCCCUCUCUUUGAUGACUUGUCGGCAUAUUCCAUAUGCUGACCUACACAGCUGCAACGUAUCAUGUUGUAGAGUAUUUUUCUGGCCAGGUGUGAGGCUACGAUCUACGCUCGGUGAUAUGCCCUGGAGUCGGAUGGACUCGUCUACCUUUGAAGCUUCAGCUAGUCUUCGUUAGUUAUCUCAUUAGAUGGCCUCCAGCCACUUUAUUGUAAUCCGUUAUUGUAAUAAAGUACUCGAUAUGAGAUUUUGAUUAAUAAAGCUGUGUGAUGGAACUCUUGAUAUAUACAUUGAUGUACUGAGUGUGUACCAGCAUGAUCUUGGG
RNAcentral lists this long non-coding RNA (1743 nucleotides) under Hordeum vulgare. RNAcentral's name for it is "long non-coding RNA (HVUL_LNC021088)". Lineage: Eukaryota; Viridiplantae; Streptophyta; Magnoliopsida; Poales; Poaceae. The record is from RNAcentral.